RNAcentral lists this ribosomal RNA (433 nucleotides) under uncultured bacterium. RNAcentral's name for it is "partial 16S ribosomal RNA". It matches the Rfam family "Bacterial small subunit ribosomal RNA", at positions 29 to 507 of the family's 1533-position model. The record is from RNAcentral.
AACGAACGCUGGCGGCAUGCCUAACACAUGCAAGUCGAACGAGACCUUCGGGUCUAGUGGCGCACGGGUGCGUAACGCGUGGGAACCUGCCCUUAGGUUCGGAAUACCUCCCCGAAAGGGGUGCUAAUACCGGAUAAUUUCUUCGGACCAAAGAUUUAUCGCCUUUGGAUGGGCCCGCGUUGGAUUAGCUAGUUGGUAGGGUAAAAGCCUACCAAGGCGACGAUCCAUAGCUGGUCUGAGAGGAUGAUCAGCCACACUGGGACUGAGACACGGCCCAGACUCCUACGGGAGGCAGCAGUGGGGAAUAUUGGAAAAUGGGCGAAAGGCUGAACCAGCAAUGCCGCGUGAGUGAUGAAGGCCUUAGGGUUGUAAAGCUCUUUUACCCGGGAUGAUAAUGACAGUACCGGGAGAAUAAGCACCGGCUAACUCCGUG